Molecule: long non-coding RNA, 629 nt
Organism: Lepidothrix coronata (blue-crowned manakin)
Lineage: Eukaryota; Metazoa; Chordata; Aves; Passeriformes; Pipridae
Exons: 4
Source: RefSeq, a predicted model, not a curated record
CUCCCCUUGGUGCUCAAGGCUCCACAUUGGUCCAGAUAGCAGUUGUAAGAUCUUGCAGGUGUGACAGGACCUGCCCUUAUCCCCCCUGAGUGUGUCCAUACCUUUUCAAAGGGAGGAGAAAGGAGGAAAAGAGGGCAGUAGCAGGGAGGCAAGUAGAGGAGGAGGGAGAGGAGGAAGAUCACUAUCUGCAAAUCAGGGAGUUCUUCAAGGUGAUGAUGCGCAGGCUGCAGAGAGGGGAGAUGAUGUGGGAAGCCUUUGCUAUGGAGGUGGCACCUGAUUCUCAUAGGACUGCUAUCCCAGUGGUUCAGUAACGAGGACCAUCCCGACUUCAUCUUCCUGCAGCUGCUAGAAGUGAAACUCAAGAGGCUGCCGCAGGCACUGCAGCACCUUCUCAGAACUGCUUGACCUUAAUGGAUUAGCGUUUCCCUGAGCAGGUGGCAAUUUAAAAAGAGGAGACAAACUUUUACACUUAGGAGACCCCUGGUGAAUGGCAUCAAAUUUCAGAAUGUUGAAACAGAGCAAAGAAACUUACGAUGCCUUCCCACCUAACCCUGUGCCACCUUAACCCCCUUGCUAUGCACAUAAGUUACAGCUUUCCAGUUAGGAUCCUAAGUCCACUUAUUAAGGAA